Molecule: ribosomal RNA, 556 nt
Filed under: uncultured bacterium
Lineage: Bacteria
Description: partial 16S ribosomal RNA
Rfam family: Bacterial small subunit ribosomal RNA
Source: RNAcentral
UGGGGAAUUUUGGACAAUGGGCGAAAGCCUGAUCCAGCAAUGCCGCGUGUGUGAAGAAGGCCUUCGGGUUGUAAAGCACUUUUGUCCGGAAAGAAAUCCUUGGCUCUAAUACAGUCGGGGGAUGACGGUACCGGAAGAAUAAGCACCGGCUAACUACGUGCCAGCAGCCGCGGUAAUACGUAGGGUGCAAGCGUUAAUCGGAAUUACUGGGCGUAAAGCGUGCGCAGGCGGUUUGCUAAGACCGAUGUGAAAUCCCCGGGCUCAACCUGGGAACUGCAUUGGUGACUGGCAGGCUAGAGUAUGGGCAGAGGGGGGUAGAAUUCCACGUGUAGCAGUGAAAUGCGUAGAGAUGUGGAGGAAUACCGAUGGCGAAGGCAGCCCCCUGGGCCAAUACUGACGCUCAUGCACGAAAGCGUGGGGAGCAAACAGGAUUAGAUACCCUGGUAGUCCACGCCCUAAACGAUGUCAACUAGUUGUUGGGGACUUCAUUUCCUUAGUAACGUAGCUAACGCGUGAAGUUGACCGCCUGGGGAGUACGGUCGCAAGAUUAAAACUC